UAAAAGUCACGGGUAACAAAUCUUAUCUUGAAUUUGAAUUAGAGAUUUAUUUUGUAUUUUUAGGGGGCAGCUUCAAAGAAAGUAAAAUAUGAGAGAUAUGUAUCACGCAUCACAACAGAUGCAGUUGUGGAAAAAAAGUAAAAGAUGGUUCCUCAGAAUGCAGUUUAAACAGUAGAAAGAAAAGAAACCUGACUUGGGAUGAGAAAAUCCAUCUUGAAGGCAAUCCACUGAAUGGCUUCUUCAGUUAUUUAUUGUCAAAAAAGAAUGCAAACCAUGGCACAGGCAUAUCCAACCCUUUCAACUGUGAGGAAAAGAAAAUCUUGCUCCAACAUCGUCAUUGCAUAAGUCUAAAGUAAUAUACAGAAAUUUUCAAGUAAAGGAUUAUGGUCCGAAGUAAAAAACUCCAUUUCUUAUUUAAAAAAAUGAGAAGGCUAUCUGCUUUUCUUCUCUCCAUCCACUGGUUGAUCCGUUUCAGAGUCAUAUUGGCAUUUUUCCACACAUUUCCUAGGGAACCAGCCUCGUUCUCUUAUUCCACCAUCACCAGCUGAGUUAAGAAUCUUCUCACCAUACAUCCAGUGUUUUAGGCCUCUUGUGGCUAAAAUCAGAUCCCCUUUACUCAGUGCAAUUCUAGGUUCUUCAGUACAUGGUGUUGUGAAGAAUGUUUUAACACCUUUAGUCACAGGGCAGCAGACACCACUGUAAUCUUCUAUGGCUCGAUACCGCACACUUCUUACUCGCUUGUCUGCUUUCUGUUUCAGUUGCUCUAUCGUCAAACUGUAUCGAUGACAGCCUUCUCUCACUGGCCAGUCCAGGCCAUCUCCCUCCGGAAUCCCAGACCACGUAAACACUUGCUUGAAGUUCUUCCAUUUGCUUCCCAUAUCAUAUGGAAAAAUAAAGGUUUCAUCUGUUUGGUAGUACUGAAUUCUGUCUUUGGCCUUUUCUUCAAUCCAGGACUCGAUUGAAGUUUUGUUUGUCAAAAUGACUUUCAUCUGAAUAAUAAACAGCAUACCAACGGCAAUUGUUGUUCCUAAUGCCAGUCCUAAGGCAAAUAAAGAUGCAGCAAAUGCAGACAGUCCAAAGGGAAUAAUGGUUCGAGGGUCUCUUUUGGCUGCACUCAUGUCAAUUUUUACAGAACUCC
This 1138-nucleotide long non-coding RNA is filed under the name Gallus gallus (chicken). The record is from RNAcentral. Lineage: Eukaryota; Metazoa; Chordata; Aves; Galliformes; Phasianidae.